RNAcentral lists this transfer RNA (66 nucleotides) under Paracanthurus hepatus (palette surgeonfish). RNAcentral describes it as "tRNA-Cys". It matches the Rfam family "tRNA". From Rfam's summary of the family: Transfer RNA (tRNA) molecules are approximately 80 nucleotides in length. Their secondary structure includes four short double-helical elements and three loops (D, anti-codon, and T loops). Further hydrogen bonds mediate the characteristic L-shaped molecular structure. tRNAs have two regions of fundamental functional importance: the anti-codon, which is responsible for specific mRNA codon recognition, and the 3' end, to which the tRNAs corresponding amino acid is attached (by aminoacyl-tRNA synthetases). tRNAs cope with the degeneracy of the genetic code in two manners: having more than one tRNA (with a specific anti-codon) for a particular amino acid; and 'wobble' base-pairing, i.e. permitting non-standard base-pairing at the 3rd anti-codon position. Lineage: Eukaryota; Metazoa; Chordata; Actinopteri; Acanthuriformes; Acanthuridae. The record is from RNAcentral.
AGCCCUGAGGUGUAUAACAUAUCAGAUUGCAAAUCUGAAGUUGCAGGCUAAACCCUGCUGGGGCUU